This 22-nucleotide non-coding RNA is filed under the name Arabidopsis thaliana (thale cress). Lineage: Eukaryota; Viridiplantae; Streptophyta; Magnoliopsida; Brassicales; Brassicaceae. The record is from RNAcentral.
AGAGCUCUUGGUGACUUAACCG